CUGUUCUGAUAUGGAGCUACAAGGGGCCCAAGAGGACCUGGGCAUUUCCCUCUCUAGUCCCCGGAGGAACCAUGAAACCAGGCCAGGAAGCAAGGCUAAGGGCAGGAGCAGCAUCUGUCUCCAGGCGUCUGUUUGGAUGGCUGGAGGAAAGCUGAGGCUCAGAGCAAGUGAACAUCUAACCCAGGGCCACCAACAAGAGCUCAGGGAUUGGAAUCUGGGAGAAGAUGCUUCCCUUCUCUUCUCCAAGAGUCCUUUUGGGGCUGGCAAGUUGAUACAAGCUCCAGCUCAUGUCUUCAGACAAUGCUGGGUCCAAGGAAAUGCAUGGAUCUCCUGCAUUACAAAGUUUGACUCCAAGAGAAGCCCAGAAGUGGCUUCCAGCCCCUCCUACCUAACUGUGCCCCGCCGUUCACCACUUCCUGUCUUCCUGCGACCCAGUGACAGAUGUGUCUGUGGGGGCUGCUACUUGGGAAAGUCCACCAGGAGGAGAGCAUGCCAAUCUCUCCUCUCAGAUCCUCUGGGGGUUACUUUCCCCACCCAAACUAGGCCUUGAUGUCAAGGCCUAGUUACAGGGAUGUCAAACUAGGAGGUUGAUGUCGGUGUGGUGUGUAAGAUGUUGGGGAGAAGCUGCAGGUGCCUUCUUACCAGCUCUUCCUGAAAACUUGUCUCUCCCUCUCCUUGUUAGUCUGUUUUAUAACUCACACUCCAGCCGGGGGGAAGUAAAGGAGCUUAUCCCGUUCACAGAUCCUGUAACCCAUGGUGGUUAUUACCUCAUAGCUGGUGCAGUGUUCUUUGAGCCUAGCAGUUUGGUUUAGACUCAAGUGUCUAUUCUUUGCAGUCUUUCUGGGGUUGGUAGCAGAGAAAGAGAAGAGAACAGGUAAUUCGAUCACUCAGGUUAUUCGUGUGUAAAAGUUGAAGCCCUACCACAAACGUAUGAGUGGAUGUUAUAGUGUAAUAACCUGGACAUUGCCAAGACAGCUUCCUCAGGGCUUUUGUUUCCUCAAGCCUACCUGAAGGCUCUCUUCUCAGUCACGGGGGAUGGAAUUGUUUCAUCCCUGGCUUGCUCUGGGCCUCAGUUUCCCUAUUCCAGGAUAGUUUCCCUAUUCCCUAUUCUGCAUCAUAAAAAAAAAAAUACACUCCUGAUAGAAGUCGGUUGAUGCUUUUGGCCUGCAGCCUCCUUAAGGUUAAUAGUCCACAUAAUUUCCUCAGGGGCCCUGGCUGGCCUGUUGUGGGUGUACCCAUGAAGUAUCUUGAUUUGCUAUGAUAGGAGCCACCUUGGCUUCCUGUGGAGAUAAGCCCUGCCCCUCGUUCCCACUUUAAGCUUGAAAAGUCCCUUAUCCAACUUUGGAAUGGGAACUAGAAAGACUAAGCAGUGUCUCUCAGGGGUUCCUUCUGGGGUCACUCAGAAGAGGAGAACCAAGCAGUCUUGGCGGAGAGACACCUGAAGUUGGUCACUCGGCACAUUACCAGGGGCUCAGCAAUGACCAGCCUGCAACCAUCCUGCCUUUCCCCAGGGGUCUGGGCUCCAGCCAUGGAGGGUGGACUGGAGACUCCUUUGCCUUUCAACACUGUCUGGCCUGUCUCGGGUCCGGCACGUCUUUUCUCUACUGAUUUUGUGGCUGUGGUUAACUUAGCUAACCUUUCAGUGAAAUAAUGUCUAGUGGCAUUCCUUUACAUUUUCCAUGUGCUGUUUUUUCCAUAACUCCAUUUUCUUCAGGGCUGAGUUUGGGUCUUCAUUUUUCCACCCACAGGCCUAGUUAAGCUUGGUCUUGUGCUCCAACUUACCUGCCCCAGACUUCUUGGAUGGACAUUGUCAAUCUGGUCAUAUUGAGAGUGAAACUGCCACCUAGUGGUCACUGGAGGUGUGCCUGCCUUUUCAUGAGCUCUCUUGCUGCUGGUUACCGGAAACAUCAGUUGAUGGUUUUCUUCUAAGCUAACUCAGAAGCUGUGAUGUGAAUCAGACCAAACAAUUUAUCUGCUUCAAAUCCAUAUUGUAAAGAGGUUUAAUAUAAAGACAUAUUUUCAAAUCAAAAUAAAUAAUGAAGC
Homo sapiens (human) is the source of this 2043-nucleotide long non-coding RNA. Ensembl annotates it as long intergenic non-protein coding RNA 2694. The record is from Ensembl. NCBI's taxonomy places the organism in Eukaryota, Metazoa, Chordata, Mammalia, Primates, Hominidae.